This 484-nucleotide ribosomal RNA is filed under the name uncultured bacterium. RNAcentral's name for it is "partial 16S ribosomal RNA". It matches the Rfam family "Bacterial small subunit ribosomal RNA", at positions 28 to 523 of the family's 1533-position model. The record is from RNAcentral.
GACGAACGCUGGCGGCGUGCUUAACACAUGCAAGUCGAACGAUGAAGCCGGAGCUUGCUCUGGUGAAUUAGUGGCGAACGGGUGAGUAACACGUGAGUAACCUGCCCUUGACUCUGGGAUAACUGCUAGAAAUGGUAGCUAAUACCGGAUACGACCCUCGGAGGCAUCUCCAGGGGGUGGAAAGAAUUUCGGUCAAGGAUGGACUCGCGGCCUAUCAGCUAGUUGGUGAGGUAAUGGCUCACCAAGGCGACGACGGGUAGCCGGCCUGAGAGGGGGGCCGGCCACACUGGGACUGAGACACGGCCCAGACUCCUACGGGAGGCGGCAGUGGGGAAUAUUGCACAAUGGGCGCAAGCCUGAUGCAGCAACGCCGCGUGAGGGAUGACGGCCUUCGGGUUGUAAACCUCUUUUAGUAGGGAAGAAGCGAAAGUGACGGUACCUGCAGAAAAAGCACCGGCUAACUACGUGCCAGCAGCCGCCGUAA